This is a non-coding RNA of Pelobates cultripes (western spadefoot toad), 131 nucleotides long. NCBI's taxonomy places the organism in Eukaryota, Metazoa, Chordata, Amphibia, Anura, Pelobatidae. The record is from the annotation of a GenBank genome assembly.
AUAACAAUACAGGACUCUUUCGAGGCCCUUUAAUUGUAAUGAGUACACUUUAACUCCUAUAACGAGGAUCUAUUGGAGGGCAAGUCUGGUGGAGAGCGACAGACCCAUGCAUGCUGCAGCUGAAACUCCAU